CGCGUAGGCGGUUUGUUAAGUUGGAUGUGAAAUCCCCGGGCUCAACCUGGGACGUGCACCCGAUACUGGCCGACUAGAGUACGAGAGAGGGAGGUAGAAUUCCACGUGUAGCGGUGAAAUGCGUAGAUAUGUGGAGGAAUACCGGUGGCGAAGGCGGCCUCCUGGCUCGAUACUGACGCUGAGGUGCGAAAGCGUGGGGAGCAAACA
This 207-nucleotide ribosomal RNA is filed under the name uncultured bacterium. RNAcentral's name for it is "partial 16S ribosomal RNA". It matches the Rfam family "Bacterial small subunit ribosomal RNA", at positions 568 to 774 of the family's 1533-position model. The record is from RNAcentral.